CAGCCAGCCUGGACCCAAAGCCCAGACCCUUCCCGAUUAGGGCCUGUCAGGAGCCGUCGAGGCCCAGGACACGGGGGGCCUUUCUGCUUGGCCUCAGAUGGAAGGCAGUGACACAGUCCAGAGGGAGGGCCUUGUACUGUCCUGGAAGAUAGUGCCCUUGAGGCCCCAAGGAUGAGUCAUGGGUGAUUCGGGGCACUGCAAGGCGGGGGUGGGGGGCCCGGCCCGGGCUGGCCGGCUGGCUCUCCUCCUGUAUAAGCCCCCAAGCCCACUGCUUCGGACUUCCCGUCUCUCCUGAGCUCAGAAGUGUGACCCCGGCUGCAGCCAUGAAGUGCCUCCUGCUCACCCUGGGCCUGGCCCUCGCCUGCCCCGUCCAGGAUGCCCACAUCCCCCAGACGGUGGAGGACCUGGACAUUAGAAAGGGAAAACCACGAGUGUAUGGAGAAGACCCUCAUGGCCCAGAAGACCGAGGACCCUACUGUCUUCACAGUCGACUCCAGGACCCCGGAGGUGGAUGACGAGGCCAUGGAGAAAUUCGCCAGGGCCCUGGCGUCAUUGUCGGAGGACGUGCAGAUGGUCCUGGACCUGCGCCGGGGGGCGGGGCAGUGCCACGUCUAGGUGAGCCCCUGCCGGCGCCUCUGGGGGCCCAGGAGCCUUGGCUCCUCUGGGGACAGACGACGUCACCCCUGCCUCCCCCAUCAGGGGGACAAGGAGGGACCGGGACCGCGGUCACCCCUCCUGGGACCCAGGCCCCUCCAGUCUCCUCCUGGGGCCUCCUGCUCUGGGCCGCUUCUCCUUCAGCAAUAAAGGCGUAAACCUGUGC
Molecule: long non-coding RNA, 820 nt
Filed under: Capra hircus (goat)
Lineage: Eukaryota; Metazoa; Chordata; Mammalia; Artiodactyla; Bovidae
Description: lncRNA (ENSCHIG00000005006.1)
Source: RNAcentral